CUGGCAACUACAAGGAUAGUGUUUGUAAUUGGAGAUUGCCUCUUUUGGAGUGUUUGGUGAGCCUGAUCCUCAAAAAGAGGGAUUAUAGAGGGAAAACUGGACUGAAUACUUUGAACUAAUCUACAUGGGAGCCGAUCUCAUUUCUGUGAUCACGGAGAGAGAAAGAGAAUGAGUCAACUGUGUUGACUACUUUCUUUUAUCCCCUCUUAUCACUUUGUUGAACGAGAAAAGUAUGUCUGCCUGCUGUUCAAGUGUACAAGUGAUACACAAACAGAAAUGGCAGCUUGAUUGGAACUAGGUGCUGACAGGGAAGGACUUGAAUGGGGAAAGCUGCAGCCAGAUUGAAGCAGUUAGUGAAAUACAGUUAUAGAGACCUUGAUGAUGCAUCCUGGACUAUUCUGGGAGAAGAUUUGCUGCUGUUAGAUCAGCUGUGUGUACAAGGUAGCCUGGAAUCUGAAUGCAAAAGGAAACUUCCAAACAUUUUCUUAAGGCUCAAGCCAUAAAUGAAUGAACUUUUUUUUUUUUUUUUUUUACUAAAUUAAGUGUUAUUAGACAAUUUUUCUGUUGAUCUUUGCAGUAUGUAUUCAAUUACACAGAUACAUACAGACAUAUGCACGUACAUAACACACAAUUGUUUAAUAAAUGGACUAGUACAUGAAGUUUACAAGUGAGACGACACAUUCAUUUACCAUGAUCUUUUUUAAGCCUUCCUAUCCUAAGGAAACUGCUGAAUAGGUCACGGUAUGAAAAUAGUGUAAGGCAACCGAAGGACUAGAUUCUGUGCACAGAGUGUAUUGUGUAAAUCCUACCUAACUCAAUUGAUUUCAGUAGUUUAAAAUUAGAUUAAACUGUUGUUGUUGAUGAACGUGUAUCUGCUGUGGACAAGAUAUUAAUUUGUCCAAAAUCUUAGCACGAAGGAGUAGUCUUGA
Molecule: long non-coding RNA, 929 nt
Organism: Phasianus colchicus (ring-necked pheasant)
Lineage: Eukaryota; Metazoa; Chordata; Aves; Galliformes; Phasianidae
Source: RefSeq, a predicted model, not a curated record